GAAAGGUGAAGUUGAUGUAGCUCGAAGUAGGAUUGACACCUACAUCAGGUCCUCACUGCGUACUGUUUUUGCUCAGAGAAUGGAGAAAGCAGACUCAAGCAGAAGAGCAUCCAAAAAUCAGCCCAAUCCUCUUCCUGUUUUGGCAAUCCUUGCAAAGGAUGUUGGAGAGCUGGCACUUAAUGAGAAGCGAGUAUUUAGUCCAAUACUGAAGAGAUGGCACCCUUUGGCAGCAGGUGUGGCUGUGGCCACACUGCAUGCUUGCUAUGGAAAUGAGCUAAAACAGUUCAUAUCCGGCAUAAUGGAAUUAAC
Molecule: unclassified non-coding RNA, 309 nt
Filed under: Hevea brasiliensis (rubber tree)
Lineage: Eukaryota; Viridiplantae; Streptophyta; Magnoliopsida; Malpighiales; Euphorbiaceae
Source: RNAcentral